This 422-nucleotide long non-coding RNA is filed under the name Physcomitrium patens. RNAcentral describes it as "long non-coding RNA (PPAT_LNC002131)". Lineage: Eukaryota; Viridiplantae; Streptophyta; Bryopsida; Funariales; Funariaceae. The record is from RNAcentral.
GGAGGGUACUUGAGGCCAUAUUAGAGAUUAGGAUUAGUUUUUUGGAGCAAUUUGAACUUUAAAGGCUAGGAUCAACAAGUUUAGGAUUUUGGCUAUGGUUUUGGUACAAAUCUUGUAUAAUUUGGACUUUGUGUGAAGGAGAUAUAGGUGCUCAAAGUUAAGGUAUUGAUUUGGGAGCUACUGUCACUCUUUUUGACAUAACGCACGCGUACAAAGGGCAAUUGAGGAUCGGCGACUGCGACUAGAGAAAGCACUUUUGCAGCUACACUUUUUGUAUACUGCUUGCUCGAUUUCAAGUUGGAAUAAAGGAAUUAUUGGAUUUUGAAGUCAAUGCUUGCAAUCUAAGAGUAGUAAGUGAGCCGAUUUACUUGUGGUUGUGACUUGAGCUAUAUCUUAAGCAAUUUGACAAGGUUUUGGCUCAA